UGCCAGCAGCCGCGGUAAUACGGAGGGUGCGAGCGUUAAUCGGAAUAACUGGGCGUAAAGGGCACGCAGGCGGUAAAUUAAGUGAGAUGUGAAAUCCCUGAGCUUAACUUGGGAAUUGCAUUUCAGACUGGUUUACUAGAGUACUCUAGGGAGGGGUAGAAUUCCACGUGUAGCGGUGAAAUGCGUAGAGAUGUGGAGGAAUACCGAAGGCGAAGGCAGCCCCUUGGGGAGAUACUGACGCUCAUGUGCGAAAGCGUGGGGAGCAAACAGGAUUAGAUA
RNAcentral lists this ribosomal RNA (279 nucleotides) under uncultured bacterium. RNAcentral's name for it is "partial 16S ribosomal RNA". It matches the Rfam family "Bacterial small subunit ribosomal RNA", at positions 506 to 784 of the family's 1533-position model. The record is from RNAcentral.